GGGCUCAUAGCUCAGCCUGGUUAGAGCGAUCGCCUCUUAAGCGAUAGGUCGCGGGUUCGAAUUAUUGAAGAAUAACGAAAGUCCCGUUGGGCCCA
Molecule: transfer RNA, 95 nt
Filed under: Candidatus Woesearchaeota archaeon
Lineage: Archaea; Nanobdellati; Candidatus Woesearchaeota
Description: tRNA-Lys
Rfam family: tRNA
About the family: Transfer RNA (tRNA) molecules are approximately 80 nucleotides in length. Their secondary structure includes four short double-helical elements and three loops (D, anti-codon, and T loops). Further hydrogen bonds mediate the characteristic L-shaped molecular structure. tRNAs have two regions of fundamental functional importance: the anti-codon, which is responsible for specific mRNA codon recognition, and the 3' end, to which the tRNAs corresponding amino acid is attached (by aminoacyl-tRNA synthetases). tRNAs cope with the degeneracy of the genetic code in two manners: having more than one tRNA (with a specific anti-codon) for a particular amino acid; and 'wobble' base-pairing, i.e. permitting non-standard base-pairing at the 3rd anti-codon position.
Source: RNAcentral